AUUGAACGCUGGCGGCAGGCUUAACACAUGCAAGUCGAGCGGAGCCUUCGGGCUUAGCGGCGAACGGGUGAGGAAUGCCUGGGAAUCUGCCUGUUAGUGGGGGAUAACGUUCCGAAAGGAACGCUAAUACCGCAUACGUCCUACGGGAGAAAGCAGGGGACCUUCGGGCCUUGCGCUAACAGAUGAGCCCAGGUCGGAUUAGCUAGUUGGUGGGGUAAAGGCUCACCAAGGCGACGAUCCGUAGCUGGUCUGAGAGGAUGAUCGAGCCAACUACGUAGGAACUGAGAC
RNAcentral lists this ribosomal RNA (288 nucleotides) under uncultured bacterium. RNAcentral's name for it is "partial 16S ribosomal RNA". It matches the Rfam family "Bacterial small subunit ribosomal RNA", at positions 30 to 325 of the family's 1533-position model. The record is from RNAcentral.